Molecule: non-coding RNA, 778 nt
Filed under: Hydroporus signatus
Lineage: Eukaryota; Metazoa; Arthropoda; Insecta; Coleoptera; Dytiscidae
Source: RNAcentral
AUAAAGUUUAAUUUUAGUUUAAAAAUUUAUUUAAUUUUUUAUUUACAUGUAAAUUUUAGUUUGAAUUUAAUAUUAAUUUUAAUAAUUAUAUUUAAAUUUUUUAUUCGCAGUAUAAAAUAUUAUUAAUUUAAGAGAUUAAGAAUUAUGAAUAAAUUUAUAUAUUAACAAAAUUUGUGCCAGCAGUUGCGGUUAUACAGAAAAUAUAAAUAAAUUUUAUUGGUUAAUAAUAAAAUGAAUUUAAUUUAGUUAAAAUAAAAUUUAUAAAGUGAAAUUUAAAAUUUUAAAUAAUUAUGAGUAAAUGUAUUGAUAUUAUGAAAUUUUGUGAUUAGACUAGGAUUAGAUACCCUAUUAUUAGGAAUGUAAAUUUUUACCAAAGUAGUAUUAGUUAUGAUCUUGAAAUUUAAAAAUUUUGGCGGUAUUUUAGUCUAUUCAGAGGAACCUGUUCUAUAAUUGAUAGUCCACGAUAAACUUUACUUUAUUUAUUAGUUUAUAUAUCGUCGUUAUUAAAUAUUUUAUAAGAAUUAUAAUAUUUAAUAUUUUUAAUUAAAAAAUAUAUCAGAUCAAGGUGUAGUUUAUAAUAAAGUAGAAAUGGGUUACAAUAAAUUUAUUUAUGGAUUUAUAUAUAAAAUAGUAUAAUGAAAUUGGAUUUGAUAGUAAUAAUUUUUAUAUUUAAAUUAUGAUUAUAGCUCUAAAAUGUGUACAUAUCGCCCGUCACUCUUAUUAUAAAAUAAGAUAAGUCGUAACAUAGUAGAUGUACUGGAAAGUGUAUCUAGAAUGA